UAAAAAUUUAAUUUUUGUUUUAAAAAUUAAUUAAAUUUUAUUAAUAAUAUAUAAUUUUAAUUUAAAUAAUAAAAUUUAUAAGUAAUAUUUAAAAUUUAUUAAAUUAAUGAAAGUUAGAAUAAGAUAAAAAUGAUAAUUAUAGGAUAAUUUAGUGCCAGCAUCAGCGGUUAGACUAAGUAUAUAAAUUAAUUUAAACUUUAUUUAAUUAUAAGAUUAAUUUUUUAGUUUUUAUAUAUAAUAAUAAUAUGGUGAAAUGUUAUUAUUUAAAAUAAAAAUUUUUUAUUUAUUUUAUAUUAGAAAAUUUUUUUAAAAGACUAGGAUUAGAUACCCUAUUAUGUAAAACUAAUAAUAAUAAUAGAAGAGAUUAAAUGUUAUACCAUUAAAUUUAAAAGAUUUGGCGGUACUUUUUAUUUAGAGGAACCUGUGUAGUAAUUGAUGUACCACGAUAAGAAAUACUUAAAGUUUAGCUUAUGUAUUGCUGUUUUCAGUACUUAAUUAAUUUAGGUUUAUACAAUUUAGUAAAGUUAAGAAAUUCAAGUCAAAAUAUAGUUUUUUUAAGAUUAACAUGGGUUACAUUAGAUUAGAUUUAAAUAGUUGAAUUAAAAAUUUUAAUUUUUUUAUGAAAAUGGAUUUAAAAGUAAAAUUAAUAAAUUAAUUAAUUUGAAUUAAAAAGUUAAGUACGUACAAAUUGCCCGUCACUUUCAAUAAAAUGGAAUAAGUCGUAACAAAGUUUAGGUACCGGAAGGUGCUUAUUGUUAGUA
This 761-nucleotide non-coding RNA is filed under the name Dolichovespula saxonica. The record is from RNAcentral. Lineage: Eukaryota; Metazoa; Arthropoda; Insecta; Hymenoptera; Vespidae.